GAUGAACGCUAGCUACAGGCUUAACACAUGCAAGUCGAGGGGAAACGACAUCGAAAGCUUGCUUUUGAUGGGCGUCGACCGGCGCACGGGUGAGUAACGCGUAUCCAACCUGCCCACCACUUGGGGAUAACCUUGCGAAAGUAAGACUAAUACCCAAUGAUAUCCCACGAAGGCAUCCGAAUGGGAUUAAAGAUUUAUCGGUGAUGGAUGGGGAUGCGUCUGAUUAGCUUGUUGGCGGGGUAACGGCCCACCAAGGCAACGAUCAGUAGGGGUUCUGAGAGGAAGGUCCCCCCACAUUGGAACUGAGACACGGUCCAAACUCCUACGGGAGGCAGCAGUGAGGAAUAUUGGUCAAUGGACGGGAGUCUGAACCAGCCAAGUAGCGUGCAGGAUGACGGCCCUAUGGGUUGUAAACUGCUUUUAUAGGGGGAUAAAGUGUGCCACGUGUGGCAUAUUGCAGGUACCCUAUGAAUAAGGACCGGCUAAUUCCGUG
This 493-nucleotide ribosomal RNA is filed under the name uncultured bacterium. RNAcentral's name for it is "bacterial SSU rRNA". It matches the Rfam family "Bacterial small subunit ribosomal RNA", at positions 28 to 507 of the family's 1533-position model. The record is from RNAcentral.